Long non-coding RNA from Oncorhynchus tshawytscha (Chinook salmon), 291 nucleotides. NCBI's taxonomy places the organism in Eukaryota, Metazoa, Chordata, Actinopteri, Salmoniformes, Salmonidae. The record is from Ensembl.
GCCAGCUUCAUCAAAUGGCUUGUUGUUAGUUAGUAAUGAGGUUGGGAGAUUGGAAACCGAUCUGGGCUAAAGCCAACUUCAUCAAAUGGCUUGUUGGUAGUUAGUAAUGAGGUUGGGAGAUUGGGAACCGAUCUGGGCUAAAGCCAAGUUCAUCAAAUGGCUUGUUGGAAGUUAGUAAUGAGGUUGGGAGAUUGGGAACCGAUCUGGGCUAAAGCCAACUUCAUCAAAUGGCUUGUUGGUAGUUAGUAAUGAGGUUGGGAGAUAUGGGAACCGAUCUGGGCUAAAGUCAAC